This 1002-nucleotide ribosomal RNA is filed under the name Darwinocoris australicus. Its description in RNAcentral is "partial 18S ribosomal RNA". It matches the Rfam family "Eukaryotic small subunit ribosomal RNA", at positions 408 to 1323 of the family's 1831-position model. The record is from RNAcentral. Lineage: Eukaryota; Metazoa; Arthropoda; Insecta; Hemiptera; Pachygronthidae.
UACCACAUCCAAGGAAGGCAGCAGGCACGCAAAUUACCCACUCCCGGCACGGGGAGGUAGUGACAAAAAAUAACGAUACGGGACUCAUCCGAGGCCCCGUAAUCGGAAUGAGAACAUCCUAAAUCCUUUAGCGAAAAUCUAUUGGAGGGCAAGUCUGGUGCCAGCAGCCGCGGUAAUUCCAGCUCCAAUAGCGUAUNNNNNAACCGUAGUUGGUUCUGCGUGCCACGCUGUCGGUUCACCGCCUGCCGGUGCAACUGGCAUGCCGUGGCAUGUCCUGUCGGUGGCGGACAGGCUUCGUGGCGCGCCCUAUGCGGUAUACCAGCGUGUAGGUUGCCGCGCCGCGUUGUCCUUGUUCGCCGGCUCAAUCCCACCGCGGUGCUCUUUACCGAGUGUCGAGGUGGGCCGACACUAUUUACUUUGAACAAAUUAGAGUGCUUCAAGCAGGCUCUUAAAUCAGCCUGAAUAGUGGUGCAUGGAAUAAUAGAAGAGGACCUUGGUUCUAUUUUGUUGGUUUCCGGAAUCCAAGGUAAUGAUCAAUAAGGACAGGCGGGGGCAUCCGUAUUGCGGCGCUUGGCAAAUGCUUUCGCNNNNNNNNNNNNNNNNNNNNNNNNNNNGCCCUAGAGCGAAAGCAUUUGCCAAGUAUGUCUUAAUUGAUCAAGAACGAAAGUUAGAGGCUCGAAGGCGAUCAGAUACCGCCCUAGUUCUAACCAUAAACGAUGCCAGCCAGUAAUCCGCCGAUGUUCCUCCGAUGACUCGGCGGGGGGCUUCCCCGGGAAACCAAAGCUUUUGGGUUCCGGGGGAAUAUGGUUGCAAAGCUGAAACUUAAAGGAAUUGACGGAAGGGCACCACCAGAAGUGGAGCCUGCGGCUUAAUUUGACUCAACACGGGAAACCUCACCAGGCCCGGACAUUGGAAGGAUUGACAGAUCGAUAGCUCUUUCUCGAUUCAGUGGGUAGUGGUGCAUGGCCGUUCUUAGUUCGUGGACUGAUUUGUCUGGUUAAU